This 70-nucleotide transfer RNA is filed under the name Nacospatangus altus. RNAcentral describes it as "Nacospatangus alta tRNA-Pro". It matches the Rfam family "tRNA". Rfam says of the family: Transfer RNA (tRNA) molecules are approximately 80 nucleotides in length. Their secondary structure includes four short double-helical elements and three loops (D, anti-codon, and T loops). The record is from RNAcentral. Lineage: Eukaryota; Metazoa; Echinodermata; Echinoidea; Spatangoida; Maretiidae.
CAGAAGAUAGUUUAACCUAGAAUUCUAGCUUUGGGGGCUAGUGGCAUAAGUGCAACUCUUAUUCUUCUGA